Molecule: ribosomal RNA, 707 nt
Filed under: Eisenia fetida (common brandling worm)
Lineage: Eukaryota; Metazoa; Annelida; Clitellata; Crassiclitellata; Lumbricidae
Description: eukaryotic LSU rRNA
Rfam family: Eukaryotic large subunit ribosomal RNA
Source: RNAcentral
UCCUCUAGUAACGGCGAGUGAAUGGGGAAAAGCCCAGCGCUGAAUCCAUUGGCCCUGGUCGCUUGGAAUUGUCGCGUUAGGUGCGGUUUCCGUUUGUUUCGCGCACCCAAGUCCCCUUGAGUGGGGCUAUAGUCCAAAGAAGUGCUGACCUGUACGGGUGGCGAGACGAUCGGUUGACUCCUUGGAUCGGGUUGCCUGGGAUCGCAGCCCAUAGUUGGUGGUAACCUCAUCUAAGCUAAAUAUGGCCACGAAACCGAUUGCAAACAAGUACCGUGAGGGAAAGUUGCAAAAACUUUGAAGAGAGAGUUCAAGAGGGCUGAAACCACUGGAUUGAAACGGAUGGAGUUGACUUAACUCGCUGCAUUCAUCCGGUCAGUCUACGGUCCAAUGGUUUUGACUUCCUGGUUAGGGCGAAGCCGUCACUGUUGGGCAUUUGAUCGGGUAUUUGCGGCUGGUAUGCGCUGAGACCUUUGCAAUCGCUGUUGACAAACGUGCAUUGGACCAUUCCUUCCGGGCUGGAAACCUUCUCGCUUCAGACAUGUCGCUUAAAGUCUUGAAGAUGGCGUCGCUAUGGUGCGUCAGCUUUUCGAGCUGUUGUGGCUGCUGGAUGGUCGCAUGCGACUAUCGCAGUCAUCGAUGGUGCGGAUGAGUGUGGACGCGGCGAGGCGUUGAUCUCGGUGUGAACGUCGACCACUAUCCGACCGUCU